This 756-nucleotide ribosomal RNA is filed under the name uncultured bacterium. RNAcentral describes it as "bacterial SSU rRNA". It matches the Rfam family "Bacterial small subunit ribosomal RNA", at positions 8 to 796 of the family's 1533-position model. The record is from RNAcentral.
AGAGUUUGAUCAUGGCUCAGAAUCAACGCUGGCGGCGUGCCUAACACAUGCAAGUCGCACGAGAAAGUGGAGCAAUCCAUGAGUAAAGUGGCGCACGGGUGAGUAACACGUGAAUGAUCUACCUCCGAGUGGGGAAUAACCUAGAGAAAUCUGGGCUAAUACCGCAUAACACUUACGAGUCAAAGCAGCAAUGCGCUUGGAGAGGAGUUCGCGGCCGAUUAGUUAGUUGGCGGGGUAAUGGCCCACCAAGACGAUGAUCGGUAUCCGGCCUGAGAGGGCGCACGGACACACUGGAACUGAAACACGGUCCAGACUCCUACGGGAGGCAGCAGUGGGGAAUUUUGCGCAAUGGGGGAAACCCUGACGCAGCAACGCCGCGUGGAGGAUGAAAUCCCUUGGGAUGUAAACUCCUUUCGAUCGGGACGAUUAUGACGGUACCGGAAGAAGAAGCCCCGGCUAACUUCGUGCCAGCAGCCGCGGUAAUACGAGGGGGGCAAGCGUUGUUCGGAAUUAUUGGGCGUAAAGGGCGCGUAGGCGGUCUGACAAGUCUGAUGUGAAAUCUCUGGGCUCAACCCAGAGUCUGCAUUAGAAACUGUCGGGCUUGAGUAUGGGAGAGGUGAGUGGAAUUUCCGGUGUAGCGGUGAAAUGCGUAGAUAUCGGAAGGAACACCUGUGGCGAAAGCGGCUCACUGGACCAUAACUGACGCUGAGGCGCGAAAGCUAGGGGAGCAAACAGGAUUAGAUACCCUAGUAGUCC